GACGAACGCUGGCGGCGUGCUUAACACAUGCAAGUCGAGCGGUAAGGCCCUUCGGGGUACACGAGCGGCGAACGGGUGAGUAACACGUGGGUAAUCUGCCCUGCACUCUGGGAUAAGCCCGGGAAACUGGGUCUAAUACCGGAUACGACCUCCUUCCGCAUGGUGGGGGGUGGAAAGUUCCGGCGGUGCAGGAUGAACCCGCGGCCUAUCAGCUUGUUGGUGGGGUAAUGGCCUACCAAGGCGACGACGGGUAGCCGGCCUGAGAGGGCGACCGGCCACACUGGGACUGAGACACGGCCCAGACUCCUACGGGAGGCAGCAGUGGGGAAUAUUGCGCAAUGGGCGAAAGCCUGACGCAGCGACGCCGCGUGAGGGAUGACGGCCUUCGGGUUGUAAACCUCUUUCAGCAGGGACGAAGCGCGAGUGACGGUACCUGCAGAAGAAGCACCGGCCAACUACGUGC
This 463-nucleotide ribosomal RNA is filed under the name uncultured bacterium. Its description in RNAcentral is "bacterial SSU rRNA". It matches the Rfam family "Bacterial small subunit ribosomal RNA", at positions 28 to 508 of the family's 1533-position model. The record is from RNAcentral.